Molecule: ribosomal RNA, 251 nt
Filed under: uncultured prokaryote
Description: partial 16S rRNA
Rfam family: Bacterial small subunit ribosomal RNA
Source: RNAcentral
ACGGAGGGAGCUAGCGUUGUUCGGAAUUACUGGGCGUAAAGCGCACGUAGGCGGCUUUGUAAGUCAGAGGUGAAAGCCUGGAGCUCAACUCCAGAACUGCCUUUGAGACUGCAUCGCUUGAAUCCAGGAGAGGUGAGUGGAAUUCCGAGUGUAGAGGUGAAAUUCGUAGAUAUGCGGAAGAACACCAGUGGCGAAGGAGGCUAACUGGAUUGGUUUUGACGCUGAGGUGCGAAAGUGUGGAGAGCAAGCAG